Long non-coding RNA from Salvelinus sp. IW2-2015, 192 nucleotides. RefSeq lists it as uncharacterized. The record is from RefSeq and is a predicted model, not a curated record. NCBI's taxonomy places the organism in Eukaryota, Metazoa, Chordata, Actinopteri, Salmoniformes, Salmonidae.
AAAAGUGAAAGUAAAAAGUACAUAUGUUGCUGCCAUUUUGAAACAACUGCGCCAUGAAGGUCAACAAUCUAUGUCUUUCUGUGAAAUAUGCUGAGCAACAAUAAACUGCCUUGGACUUUCAUCAACGUCAUUUCUGAGAAGGAGCGGAUGGAAAUCUCCUGACGGCUAUGAGGAGAGUGAAGUAAAUAUGAA